Long non-coding RNA from Thunnus maccoyii (southern bluefin tuna), 1966 nucleotides. RefSeq lists it as uncharacterized. Lineage: Eukaryota; Metazoa; Chordata; Actinopteri; Scombriformes; Scombridae. The transcript is spliced from 3 exons. The record is from RefSeq and is a predicted model, not a curated record.
UUUAUGUUAAAUAGUUUUACUGAGACCGGGCUUGUAUCCCCCAGAUCCCGGAGUGCUUGUAAGCAAUAAACAGACAUCAUUGAAUCGACAUCGGAGCUGUCUGGGUGUCUUCGUUGGAGUCAACUGAUGUUACUAACUGUCAGCCGUUAGUCCACCAUCAUCAUCAUCACAACACAACGCAGAGACUGUAGGCUGUCACUAUUAUCAGCGAUAUAAAGGAAACUUAACGGGGGUAUUAUAAACUGUGAGGCUAAUAUAGUCCCCCGUUAGACUCAGCACUGUCAUUAAGGUCAGGAGUAUUUUUAAUCAUAAAUCUGCCUGACAGGUCAUUAAGAUAGUUUUAAGAUAUGUUAUGCAAAACUCCAACCUGUGUGGAUGUACGAUGUACCUCAAAGGAGAUCAGAAGCAGCAUGCUGAACGGCUUCCCGUGCCUGGUGAUCUCCUGAGCUGCCACAAAACUAACCGAAGUGCAUGAAUUUGUAGACUUCAUCCACCUCCUCAAAGUGUUUUUGCUCUGGUCAGCAAAGACAGACUGGACCUCAGUAGUUGUGCUGAGUAGCAGAGACCUUGUGGCACUGGACUGCUGAGAGAGUCCAGGAGUAUCAGGAGCCAAGGGGACCAUGCCUCCUUUUGGAGACUCCUCAGUACCCCAUGAAGAUGAAAAGGCUCUAGACUUCAAGGUGGCUCCUCAGCUGCUCCACCUAAGUGUCAUGAGGGAAUACAGGAUCCGCUGCUGGCUAGCUGGCUCAAAGCUAGCAGACUGGGAGACAGCUGCUCCAGGGAGGAACUGGGAGACCCCAGGGAAACAUGGGAGACUGGAAUGAUGGACUUGGGAGGGCAGGAUUUAAAUUGUAUUUCCACCUGAAGGAAGUCACUUCUUGGGAAAAUUCAGGGUCCUUCUUCCAGUAAACAGAAGGUGAUUUAAGGAAGUUUGGCUAUUCAUUUAAAAAGACAUCCUGUGUAACUCCAGAAUCAUGCUAGGAAAAAGGCAAGCAGCGCUGGUGAAUGUCUGCUGGGUCCAUGACUGCUUGGAUCUUUCUGUCAGGGGGAGUAGCAGUAGAUGGACCCAAAUGCAGGACAAAUCAGCCAGAACGAACUGAACAAUGUCUCUUUAAUAAAGAUCCAGAUGUGCAGGCACAGAAAAAUGGAACAAGACAAAAACAGGCAGAGCAAAACUGAACUGAAACACAGGACUAAAACACUAACUGAACUAAAGAGGAGAUGAGGUGCAGGUGGGGAGGUGGGUGGAGAAACUCAAGUGAGGGGAAUGAGGGGAUAAAACAGGAAAUGGGAAAGAAGCUGAUAGGCUGGGGAAGAUACUGGGAAAAGGGCAGGGCUAACGAAGAUGGAGCAGGGCAGGUGAAGAGGGAAGAGUGGAGGGAAAAGCAUGCUGGGAACACAAGAGGAAAAACACAGGGCAAACUGAAAACUAAAAACACAGCAUACACAUGAAUAUAACUUAAAUACACAAGUCACACUGAGCAGAAACAGCACAAACACCUCAACAUAACAUUGACAACCUUAGCAUCCUUAAAGAACUCAAACAUACAUUGCUGUUGACAUAAACAUCAGACAACAAGUUUGUCAAGAGGAGUGGCCUGCAUGUAACAAUAAAAUUGGACUAAAAGACAACUGUUGCUCUGAGUUUCAGUUCACUUUCACACAUAAUAUCUAUGAGGGUCAGUGUGUAGCAAGCAACAGUCUUCAGUCACAUUUCCUGAAGAUAAGUGUGAAAGCAAACUUCAGUGUCAACCUGCAGGGCCUACUGCCACUCAGUCCAGUUCAACAAACUGGGAAAAAGUCAGAGGGCACCUGGUGGACUGGUGGAGGGACGUAGAGCAAGACUGGGACAGAACCAAUGAUACAGGGAAAGGUCAAUGAGAAAGCUUCCUCAGUGACUGUCACCCUUUACUCUGAAGUCAGGAUCUUGAAAACUCUGCAUGAUGAGUCACACAGAAGGUAAAAA